Molecule: ribosomal RNA, 253 nt
Filed under: uncultured bacterium
Lineage: Bacteria
Description: partial 16S ribosomal RNA
Rfam family: Bacterial small subunit ribosomal RNA
Source: RNAcentral
UACGGAGGGGGCUAGCGUUGUUCGGAAUUACUGGGCGUAAAGCGCGCGUAGGCGGACCUGCAAGUCGGGGGUGAAAGCCCGAGGCUCAACCUCGGAACUGCCUUCGAUACUGCGGGUCUCGAGUCCGGGAGAGGUGAGUGGAAUUCCUAGUGUAGAGGUGAAAUUCGUAGAUAUUAGGAAGAACACCAGUGGCGAAGGCGGCUAUCUGGCCCGUAAUUGACGCUGAGGCGCGAAAGCGUGGGGAGCAAACAGG